This 440-nucleotide ribosomal RNA is filed under the name uncultured bacterium. Its description in RNAcentral is "partial 16S ribosomal RNA". It matches the Rfam family "Bacterial small subunit ribosomal RNA", at positions 338 to 795 of the family's 1533-position model. The record is from RNAcentral.
CCUACGGGUGGCAGCAGUGGGGAAUAUUGGACAAUGGGGGGAACCCUGAUCCAGCGACGCCGCGUGAGUGAAGAAGUAUUUCGGUAUGUAAAGCUCUAUCAGCAGGGAAGAAAAUGACGGUACCUGACUAAGAAGCCCCGGCUAACUACGUGCCCGCAGCCGCGGUAAUACGUAGGGGGCAGGCGUGAUCCGGAUUUACUGGGUGUAAAGGGGCCGUACACGGGGCAGAAAGUCUGAUGUGAAAGUGCGGGGCCCAACCCCGGGACUGCAUUGGAAACUGUUGAACUGGAGUACAGGAGAGGUAAGCGGAAUUCCUAGUGUAGCGGUGAAAGGCGUAGAUAUUAGGAGGAACACCAGUGGCGAAGGCGGCUUACUGGACUGUAACUGACGUUGAGGCUCGAAAGCGUGGGGAGCAAACAGGAUUAGAUACCCUAGUAGUC